Molecule: ribosomal RNA, 542 nt
Filed under: Bacillus pumilus
Lineage: Bacteria; Bacillati; Bacillota; Bacilli; Caryophanales; Bacillaceae
Description: bacterial SSU rRNA
Rfam family: Bacterial small subunit ribosomal RNA
Source: RNAcentral
UGGGCGUAAGGGCUCGCAGGCGGUUUCUUAAGUCUGAUGUGAAAGCCCCCGGCUCAACCGGGGAGGGUCAUUGGAAACUGGGAAACUUGAGUGCACAAGAGGAGAGUGGAAUUCCACGUGUAGCGGUGAAAUGCGUAGAGAUGUGGAGGAACACCAGUGGCGAAGGCGACUCUCUGGUCUGUAACUGACGCUGAGGAGCGAAAGCGUGGGGAGCGAACAGGAUUAGAUACCCUGGUAGUCCACGCCGUAAACGAUGAGUGCUAAGUGUUAGGGGGUUUCCGCCCCUUAGUGCUGCAGCUAACGCAUUAAGCACUCCGCCUGGGGAGUACGGUCGCAAGACUGAAACUCAAAGGAAUUGACGGGGGCCCGCACAAGCGGUGGAGCAUGUGGUUUAAUUCGAAGCAACGCGAAGAACCUUACCAGGUCUUGACAUCCUCUGACAGCCCUAGAGAUAGGGCUUUCCCUUCGGGGACAGAGUGACAGGUGGUGCAUGGUUGUCGUCAGCUCGUGUCGUGAGAUGUUGGGUUAAGUCCCGCAACGAG